CAGUCGAGGGGCAGCAUGAACUUAGCUUGCUAAGUUUGAUGGCGACCGGCGCACGGGUGAGUAACACGUAUCCAACCUGCCGAUGACUCGGGGAUAGCCUUUCGAAAGAAAGAUUAAUACCCGAUGGCAUAGUUCUUCCGCAUGGUAGAACUAUUAAAGGAUUUCGGUCAUCGAUGGGGAUGCGUUCCAUUAGGUUGUUGGCGGGGUAACGGCCCACCAAGCCUUCGAUGGAUAGGGGUUCUGAGAGGAAGGUCCCCCACAUUGGAACUGAGACACGGUCCAAACUCCUACGGGAGGCAGCAGUGAGGAAUAUUGGUCAAUGGACGAGAGUCUGAACCAGCCAAGUAGCGUGAAGGAUGACUGCCCUAUGGGUUGUAAACUUCUUUUAUACGGGAAUAAAGUGAGGCACGUGUGCCUUUUUGUAUGUACCGUAUGAAUAAGGAUCGGCUAACUCCGUGCCAGCAGCCGCGGUAAUACGGAGGAUCCGAGCGUUAUCCGGAUUUAUUGGGUUUAAAGGGAGCGUAGGCGGACGCUUAAGUCAGUUGUGAAAGUUUGCGGCUCAACCGUAAAAUUGCAGUUGAUACUGGGUGUCUUGAGUACAGUAGAGGCAGGCGGAAUUCGUGGUGUAGCGGUGAAAUGCUUAGAUAUCACGAAAAACUCCGAUUGCGAAGGCAGCUUGCUGGACUGUAACUGACGCUG
RNAcentral lists this ribosomal RNA (699 nucleotides) under uncultured bacterium. RNAcentral describes it as "bacterial SSU rRNA". It matches the Rfam family "Bacterial small subunit ribosomal RNA", at positions 59 to 748 of the family's 1533-position model. The record is from RNAcentral.